Acanthosepion pharaonis is the source of this 100-nucleotide non-coding RNA. The record is from the annotation of a GenBank genome assembly. NCBI's taxonomy places the organism in Eukaryota, Metazoa, Mollusca, Cephalopoda, Sepiida, Sepiidae.
CAUUGAAAUACUGGUUCCCUUAAGAUCACUGAAGUUAAGCAACAUUGAGCCUGGUCAGUACCAAGAUGGAUGACUGCUUGGGAAUACCAGGUGCUGUAUG